Molecule: long non-coding RNA, 328 nt
Organism: Helianthus annuus (common sunflower)
Lineage: Eukaryota; Viridiplantae; Streptophyta; Magnoliopsida; Asterales; Asteraceae
Exons: 3
Source: RefSeq, a predicted model, not a curated record
GGGGGAUCGAUCGAACAAGCAGAGAGAAGGGGGAAACCCUAGCUCAAGCAAAAACAAGCAAUUGGAUCUAAAUUCUCAAGAUAAUCUAGUGCAUGAGUCCAUAAAUCUGAAUAACUAACCUCAAUUUCGCGUGAAAGAAGAAGGUACAAGCACUAAGCAAGCGGAAGGAGCACAAGAUCGAGGUAAAGCACCUCUAUAGGCGAUUUGGAGUUAUGGGACGAGCACAUGUUCAAGCCUUAUAAUACCAAGCGCUUCCGCAACUCAUAUGCAUACUUUUGGGUCCAUGUUUUGCCACUUUGUUAGACUUUGUUGAAAUGUUUUAGAUUUA